Long non-coding RNA from Herpailurus yagouaroundi (jaguarundi), 232 nucleotides. RefSeq lists it as uncharacterized. Lineage: Eukaryota; Metazoa; Chordata; Mammalia; Carnivora; Felidae. The transcript is spliced from 4 exons. The record is from RefSeq and is a predicted model, not a curated record.
AGCUGCCAGUUCCCAAGCGAGUGAUACUGCUGAUAAAGUGUGGCUUUGACAGGGAAGAAGGUGAAGAAACUAGGAAACCACGAAGAGCAGUGAUGUUUGCAGGGCUGAAGCACACUGAGGAUUCUUCCCAUCCAGGGACCGAAGUGUCUGAUACGAUGGAUGGACUGGUUUCCUGGAUUGCCAAAGGGAGAGAGAGAGAGAGAGAGAGAGAGAGAAGGAGAGAGAGAGAGAG